GGUGAAACUGAAACUGAAUCCUAUCAGGGUUUGCAGUAAAAUGGCUGAAGCCAGUUCAGCACUGGAUCUGAACCAGUUCUGCUGUUCAAUCUGUCUGGAUCAGCUGAAGGAUCCAGUGACUACAGCCUGCGGACACAAUUACUGUAUGAACUGCAUUAAGAGCUGCUGGGAUCAGGAGGAUCAUGAUGGAGUUUACAGCUGCCCCCAGUGCAGACAGACCUUCACACCCAGACCUGUUCUGCACAGAAACACCAUGGUGGCUGAAUUGGUGGAGAAACUGAAGAAGACUGGACUACAAGCAGCUACUCCUGAUGAUGAUUAUGCUGGACCUGGAGAUGUGGAGUGUGAUUUCUGUACUGGGAGAAAACACAAAGCUGUCAAGUCCUGCCUGGUGUGUCUGGCCUCUUACUGUGAAUCUCACCUCCAGCCUCACUAUGAGUCUCCAGCUUUUAAGAAGCACAAGCUGACUGGUGCCACUGGACAUCUGCAGGACAAGCUCUGUUCCCAGCAUGACAAACCCCUGGAGGUCUACUGCCGUACCGACCAACAGUGUAUCUGUUAUCUCUGUACGAUGGAUGAACACAGAGGCCAUGAUACAGUCUCAGCUGCUGCAGGAAGGACGGAGAUACAGAAACAAAUGGGAGAAACACAGAAGGAAUUUCAGCAGAGAAUUCAGAUGAGAGAGAAGGAGCUGCAGGAGCUGAGAGAGGCUGUGGGCUCAUUCAGAAGCUCAGCACAGUCAGCAGUGGAGGACAGCGAGAGGAUCUUCACCGAGAUGAUCCACUCCAUUGAGAGAAGAUGCUUUGAGCUGACAAAGCUGAUCAGAGAUCAGGAGAAGGCUGUAGUGAGUCAGGCUGAAAGAGACAUAGAGAGACUGAAGCAGGAGAUCGAUGAAAUGAAGAGGAGACACUCUGAGCUGGAGCAGCUUUCACACACAGAGGAUCACAUCCAUUUCCUCCAGAGGUGCCAGAGUCUUCCUGUUGUCCCCGAAGCUGGAUUUGGACCCAGAAUCUCUGUCUAUCCACGCUGCUCUUUUGAGAACAUGAGGAAGGUGGUUUCUGAGCUGAAGGAUCAACUGGAAAAUGUUUCUGAAAAGAAAAUGGCAGAGAUCCAUCACACAGUUACCAAAGACACCAUCCUACCAGUAUUAGUGCCCAGGACCAGAGCAGAAUUCCUACAAUACUUCUGCCAGCUGACGCUGGACUCCAACACAGCACACAGAGCGCUGUCUCUGUCAGAGGGGAACAGGAAGAUGACAGGGGGGGCAGAGCAGCCAUAUCCUGAUCAUCCAGAGAGAUUUGACUGGUGGCCCCAAGUUCUGUGCAGAGAGAGUCUGACUGGUCGCUGUUACUGGGAGGCUGAGUGGAGUGGAGAUGGGGCCUGGAUAGGAGUGACUUAUAAAGGAAUAGGGAGGAAAGGAGACAGUGAUAGCUGUGGGCUUGGAGACAAUGACAAGUCAUGGAUGCUGUGCUGCGAUCCUGACAGUUACUCUGUCUCUCACAAUGAUGAACAAAUUGACAUACCCAUAGAGUGCCCAGGCUCCCACAGAGUAGGAGUGUAUCUAGACUGGGCGGCUGGUACUCUGUCCUUCUACAGAAUCUCCUCUGACAGACUGACCCUCCUGUACAGCUUCACCUCCUCAUUCACUGAACCCCUCUAUCCAGGGUUUUAUAUUUCUCCAAACUCCUCUGUGUGGCUAUGCAUGCUGGAAUAGCUCACUGUGUGCUGCAGGAAUCAUUUUUACCUUAUCAGAGUGUCACAUUUCACUGUUUCUCCAUGGAAAAAAGGAAUUGUAGUAGCUUGGAUUCAACCACUAGAGGGCAGUAGUAGCAUAUAGUUGUAGGCAGCAUGGAGGGAAGCAGAAGAAAGCAACACAGGAAAGUUGGAUUUCUUCUCUGCUAGUAAGAGCAACCUCCAGGAUCCUAAUCAGUCUGGCUUCAAAGCAGCUCACUCUUAGCAGACAUCUCAUCUUGGAUGACCACUCACCAGCUAAAACUCAACAAUAGUAAAACCAAACUGCUUUACAUCCCGGCUGACUCAUCCCCCCUCCAGGACCUUGCGAUCUCCUUUGACAACUCCCUGAUCCGUCCUUCGGGUUCUGCUCGCAACCUUGGAGUUAAUAAUAAUAAUCGAUACUUUUAUUGUCCCCGUAGGGAAAUUGUCUUUACGCCUCCCACAACUUCCUCUUCUUUUUUUCAUAGAGGAAGUUGUCUGCGAAGGGCUGCCACCCGUAGCGGCGCCCAGGGAGCUGGGGGUUAAGGGCCUUGCUCAAGGACCCACAGGCUGAGGCUGGGUUUGAACCUGCGACCUUCUGAUUACACAGGCUUAGCCCACUGAGCCACAUGCUGCUCCCCAUGGAUACCAUGGAUGAUCGGUUGUCCUUUUCCUCACAUAUCGCCAGUCUUUCAAGCUCUUGUCGGUUUCUCCUCUUUAACAUCAGGAGGAUACGUCCAUUUCUUUCCACUCAGGCUACCCAGAUACUCGUCCAGUCCCUCGUCAUCUCACGCCUGGACUACUGCAACUGCGUGCCAUCUGUCCCCUCCAACUGAUUCAGAAUGCAGCUGCUCGACUGGUUUUCAACCAAAAAAGUUCUCCCACACCACUCCUUUGCUACACUCUCUCCACUGGCUUCCUGUAGCCGCCCGCAUCAAAUUCAAAACACUGAUGCUCGCAUACAAAGCCAAAAAUGGCUUUGGCACCAUCCUACCUAAAAGACCUCAUCACACCCCGUACUGCGCCCCGAUCUCUCCGAUCCUCCAGCACUGCUAGACUGGUCCCACCACCCCUCAAGGCACAAGGACGACACACAUCUCGGCUCUUCUCUGUCCUGGCACCUAGUUGGUGGAAUGAACUCCCCCUUGAUGUCCGAACAGCGGAAACCUUGGCUAUCUUCAA
Brienomyrus brachyistius is the source of this 2895-nucleotide RNA transcript. It is a transcript of the gene named tripartite motif-containing protein 16-like, with no coding region annotated. Lineage: Eukaryota; Metazoa; Chordata; Actinopteri; Osteoglossiformes; Mormyridae. The record is from RefSeq and is a predicted model, not a curated record. The transcript has 8 exons.